UUUCUUCUUCCCUCAGUGACCGACUCUCUCUCCCUCCUCUUGCUUGUGCGAACCAGAAGAUAGCAGAAAUAGAAGCAACGUCCAGCGUCGCCGGAAGGAGCCGUGACAAGCUGCUUGGACGCUGCCGCACCGCCGCUCGCGCGACGCCGUGCGCUCCGCCGCCCCCGCGACGCCGUUCGCUCCGCCGCCUCACGCUCGCACUUGCCGUCCCCGCCGUGCAACCCCAGCCCCUGUUUUGCCUCGGUUCAGUCUUGUUCGGCUAGCAUAGACCGCUGCCCGACCUCCUCCGGCCACUGUCCGGCCUCACCGGAGUCCCCUCGCCCUCCAUUGGCCCUGUCUAGCUCGAAUAAGCCCCGGAUCCGCCCU
Molecule: long non-coding RNA, 366 nt
Filed under: Eucalyptus grandis
Lineage: Eukaryota; Viridiplantae; Streptophyta; Magnoliopsida; Myrtales; Myrtaceae
Description: long non-coding RNA (EGRA_LNC007476)
Source: RNAcentral